AGGUACACCAUUUACUCUCCCAAAGAUGGGCAGCCCUGCAUGGACCAUGACAGACAGACAGGAGAGGGAGUUGGGCCUCAAGAGUACACCCUGAUUAAGAUGAAGAUUGUGGAGCCUUACCCAGCAAAAUUGAGUGGCCUUAAAGGCAAGAAUGUUUUUCUGGUGGCUGCGACUCUGAGGCCUGAAACCAUGUUUGGUC
This is a long non-coding RNA of Sinocyclocheilus rhinocerous, 199 nucleotides long. RefSeq lists it as uncharacterized. NCBI's taxonomy places the organism in Eukaryota, Metazoa, Chordata, Actinopteri, Cypriniformes, Cyprinidae. The record is from RefSeq and is a predicted model, not a curated record. The transcript has 3 exons.